This is a long non-coding RNA of Ctenopharyngodon idella (grass carp), 3388 nucleotides long. RefSeq lists it as uncharacterized. The record is from RefSeq and is a predicted model, not a curated record. NCBI's taxonomy places the organism in Eukaryota, Metazoa, Chordata, Actinopteri, Cypriniformes, Xenocyprididae. The transcript is spliced from 4 exons.
GAUACUCUAUACCCCUGGGGAACACCGUACUUCACAGUUUAGCAAGGAGGUUGCCAGGAUACUGACUGACAACAAUAUACCCCUCUAUGCAAAAGCAUGGCUUUUUGUUGGUUAAACAUUUAUGAUUGUUACUGGAUUACUUUGGCUAAGAUUGGAUGAGCAAAAUGCAUCAUGUACAUUGCAGUACAUUAAUAUAGAUAAUUGUCUUUAUAAUGUUUUUUUGUUUUUGUUUUUUUUUCCUCACUUUAGGUAAAACAGGUUUAUUACCAUGUCUGUUGGUUUAUGGGUGUAACUCUUAUUUCCCAAGGAAGAUGAAGAAGAUGAUAAUAUUACACACAGGGUUUAUUAGAAUAAUCCAAAUUGAAAGCCAACGUGCAAAACAGCAUGCUAACAUGAGACAGUACAAGACAAAGAACAGAACACAUGCAGGAACUUAAAUACACAGAGAUGAUUAACUAAAAAGACAAACAGUUGUCAUGAUGAGUGUUAAUGUCCAUGGUAACUGAUGAGUGGCGGGAAACUUAAAAUAAGGAACGCAUUUGAUGAAUAAAAAACAAACAGAAAGUCCAUGAAAACUAAAACAAACUGAACAUGACUGUGACAUGACAGGGACAAGCUGAACAUGACAGGGAAGGAGGAACCCGCUGCAGCCGUAGUAGUGGAAGGACGGAGUGCAGCGGAUGGCCUGUAUGUCCGUGGCGGAAGUGGUGUGACAACUGACCAAGGGGAAGCCGGAGAGACGAGGGAACCUGGAGGAGCCAAUAGGCCGAGUGUCUCCGGUGGAGCCAGGGCUUUCCCGGAGAUGGUGUAGGGCUGCAAACAUAAGGCAGCAGCGGGCUGGAGGACUGGUUGAACUUUGUGGUGGUGGUGAUGAAAUGAAACUUGACAGGAUGACAGUAAUCAUGAUAAGGGCCACACAGGUUAAAGCAAAGAAUAGAUCUCAGGUCAUAAUGUUGACAAUACUGUCCAUACACAAUGAUAAUUCCAAACAGACUGACGAAUCACAGUUAUUAAAGUUCUCUUUGGACAAUACUGAUAAUUCAGAUACCAGGUGGGAUAGGGUGGGAGUCAACACAUCCCUAUAGAAGUCCAUCAGCCAGUCCUCCAUCUUCAUUCCCUCAGCUGUUGGUGUCUCGGGCUCACUCACCUGGUCAGAUUCACUAUGGGGUUCCACUUCCUGAGCGAUGGUGACUCCUGUCCUGUCCUCUCUUCCUCAGGCUCUGGCUCACUCAACAUUUGCGGGGGGCACACGCAAUUCCUCCAUGGUUGAUGGUGUUGAAGUUUGAUCUAGGACUGGCUGUUCUCUGGAUCUGGGUUCGACGCUCUCCAAACACCUAAUGACGGCUUCCUUCCAGUCAAGUCCUUUGGUGUCUAUGAGGUCAACGGGAUGAUAGUAGUUUGCCCCGAUCCAGAAAAGUGACUGCAGGGUCUCAUCAUCAUAGAGGCAGGUGAGUGCAAGACAGCAAAAUCCCUCAAUGAAAAUGAAAUAGUUCUGGCUCUCAUGAGCCAGAGCAGCAAACUGAGUUGCAUAAUCCAUUUUGGUCCAGUAUUCUGUAACUCUUAGAUCCCAAGGAAGACAAAGAAGAUGGUAAUAUUACACACAGGGUUUAUUAGAAUAAUCCAAACUGAACGCUGACAGCAUGCUAAGACAAGACCAGACAAAGAACAGAACACAUGCAGGAACUUAAAUACACAGAGAUGAUUAACUAAAAGAUGAACAGCCGUGAUGAUGAGUGUUAGUGUCCAUGGUAACUGAUGAGUGGCGGGAAACUAGAACAUAGGAACACGUGAUGAAGAAAAACAAGCAGAACGUCCAUGAAAACUAAAACAAACUGACUGUGACAAUGGGACACUGCAAGUGUCAUGCAAAAAAUGUCUGAUAUGUAAUGCAUAAUUCCCAGAUGUUUGUUGCAUAAUGAAACUGACAAAAUAAAAUCAUCUAUUUUAGUGAAUGGUCUGAAAAAACUGACAGCUCAUUAAAAAAAGGAGAAAAUAUGCAUGUCUGUGCAAUUAAUUUUACCCACCAAGAGAACAAUUUAAAAAAUUUAAAUAGGAGCAUUCUGUAUGGAUUUUCCAUGAUGAGCAAUCCAAAGUGCCAGUUGCGGUGUUUGUCCUGGCUGGAGGAACCAUUCGUUGAGUUUGCUGCGGGCAGGCUCUUCUGGGGUCGUCCAGUCCAAACCGAGCUCUUGAACAGCAUUAGUGAGGAUGAGCUCUGAGUCCACCACCCGCACAUUAUCUGUCUCUUUUAGCAGUGGAGGGGCGGAGUCAUCUCCGAACUUUGCCCACUCCCCACACUCAGAGGAGGCCAGAGACAUCGCCUGUGUCCGAAAACUGGAAAAUGCUGCCUUCGAAGGACACAUUUCAAGAUAGGAAGGCAUCAAGACACGUCCGAAUCCAAUGUUACCUUCACUUCCUGUUUCCUGAUGUGGCAUUACAGGUAAGAUGGGCAUGAUUUCCCGAAUUUAAUUGCUAGGGCGGGCAUUUUUGCAUCAUUGAUUGGUAUGGUCUAUAAAAGCCAUUGGCUUAUGUACCUGGGCAGGUGUCAUUUCCCGGAUGUGGUUUGGCUUUUGUUGUUCUGCUGAACGUGACUGUGGGUCGGUAAAGGAGAGCGGCUGUGUGUACAGUCGAUUUCAUGUUUGGCGUUUUGCCGCGGCUGCCCUGUUCGGCUGAUGAAUGUGACUGCAUAUGUCCUUCUCCAGUUAAUGUUUUGCGUAUGGGCGUCGGCUGUUGCAUAUAGGCUGUGUAUUUAAUCAUCUGGCCUCAUCCCGUUCCUGCAGUGAUCGUUUGGGUGGAUAAUAUCCUCGCAGUGGCGUCACCGCUGUCUCGUUCUAGUCGAACUUCAUUGAGUCUGUGUGCGUUGGGUCAAGGUCGUGUUGUUGAACCCAUGUCAACGGAUUUUGUUUUGUUUGUUUUGUUUCUGAAGAUUGAGUCUUUAUUUUGUUUUUUUGCUUUUUUGUUUUUGUGAAUUUUCUAUUCAUCUUUUUGAAUCAGUUUGAUUUAUUUUUUUUGUGUAUAAGCUAUUUUGCUUCUCUUUUUUUGUAGUUUUGUCAACCUUUGGUAUUGAUUCAGUUUGUUCUUUUUGUAUUGUGAGUUUUUGUAUUUGAGUUUGGGUUAUUUUCAUUUUUUUGAAUUGGUUGGAUUUACUUUUGUUGUUAAUCUGCCUGAUAUAGUUUGUUUCCUUUGUGUCCAAAUUUGAGUUGUUUUCUUUUGAAUUGGGUUAUCUAAUUUUCUUUGAUUGUUGAUAUUGUGAAAUUUUGUCGUCUUCAUUGAGUCAUUUUUAAUUUCUUUGUGUUAUUUGAUAUUUUGAGUUAAAGCGAAUUGUUUAAGAUUUAUGUAGGUGAUCUAGAACGAUUUGUAUUAAUCUCUCUCUGUGUGUGUGUGUGUGUGA